UCCUAUAAACUCAAGAGGAAAUAAAAAUUAUGACUAAGUAACACACCCCAACUAUAAAGUAAUAUAUAAUAUUAUCAUUUCUAAACUACUUUAUACUAAAUGAUAUAAUUUAAUAAUUAUUUAUUUAUCUACAGUGAGUGUAACAUUGUGUAACGUGCAAAAACACCACACAGUACUAGCAAAAAAUGUGCCAGCAAAAAAUGUGCCAGCAGCUGCGGUCAAACAUUUCGCACUAAAUUUUUAAUGAAACAGUUAAUAACAAGAGAAUUAAAUUCAGAGGGAAAAAGAUAAUAAUAUAAUAGCAGUAAAAUGUAUAAAAUAAAAUACUUCCUUAAAUCAUGCCCUAAUUAAAUUAACUCCCAACCAUUAAAGUAUAAAUAACAAAAAGGAUUAGAUACCCUUGUAGCUUAUACAAUACAACCAAAAACCCAGUGACUAUCAUCGCAAGAUUAAAACUAAUGAGUUUGAGAGAGAAUUAAAUUCAGAGGGGCGUAUACUUUAAUUCGAAACUACACGAAAACCUUACCUAUGCACAAAAGGUAACACAUCUCCGUAAAUUACUUUUUUAAAAAUGUAUAAAAUAAAAUACUAAUUAAGAAAUUUACCGGUCACCACACUCCUUUCGCACAGGGCCAGUAAGCGCCAUAACUUGUUAACCAAAUCUAACACACUAAAAAAAUGAAAAUUACAAUAGAAUUUGAAAGUAAUUUUUUAUAUCUAAAAAAAAUGAAAUACAUAGACUGCUACAUACCGCCCGUCAAUCCCUAAUAACAUAUAACUACCAGAAAUAAACUAAUAAUAAAAAUUAUGACUAAGUAACAAAAUAAAAUAAAAUAGGAAUAAGUCGUAACAAGGUAGCUGUACCUGAAGGUGCAGCUAAAACAAUAAAUGAAUAUAUUAAUAAAAACAGCAUUGUGA
This 918-nucleotide ribosomal RNA is filed under the name Aphrocallistes vastus (cloud sponge). RNAcentral's name for it is "12S ribosomal RNA". The record is from RNAcentral. Lineage: Eukaryota; Metazoa; Porifera; Hexactinellida; Sceptrulophora; Aphrocallistidae.